UUGGUCUCACUUCAACACACAUACUAAACUUGGAACGAUACGGAAAAGAUCAGCACAGCCCCUGUGCAAGGAUGACACACAAACUCAUGAAGCGUUCCAUAUUUUU
Molecule: small nuclear RNA, 106 nt
Organism: Panthera pardus (leopard)
Lineage: Eukaryota; Metazoa; Chordata; Mammalia; Carnivora; Felidae
Source: Ensembl